UUACAUGACUAUUCACAGCUGACUCAUCUUGCUUGGAGCUGGAGGGCAGAGUGUAGACUUUGAAUAUCGCUCCCACAUGCAACUUUUCCGCCAACACAUUACAGGAUUGCUACUGUUCUCAGUAAUGCUUCAGUGUGUGGUACUCCUCAAAACAUGGGCUAACACAAAAGGGAGUGUUGCACAGCUCUCAUGUAUUUGGCCCCGUAUCAUUGCUGGGAGAAUGUGGAACUGGUAUACCAGUAUUCUUCCUCACAUAAGGCGGCAGUAAGGUAUAAACUGUUGAAAUGCCAGCUGCCCUUCCACUUCGUCAAUGAUUCAUCCAUGGAUAGGAACAAAAACAUGCUGAAAGGAGUGUUAUUCACUUACCUUGCAGUGCCACCUGGUCCUGCUGCCCUGGGAAGUGGUUUGAGGAACUUCAGAGGGGAAAUGCCUGGCUGUUCAGACGCAGGGGAUUGUCUGAGACAGGACGGCCCCCACUGCACCGAUACCGUGGUGAACAGUGCUCCUCAAGCAGCCCUCUCAUCAGAUUGAUCCUGAAUGGCAGAGAAACAGUGGAGUGCCCUAUCAAUAGUAAGGGGCCAGUAAGGACAUGACAACGGACUCAGAGAUCCCAGGUCCCUCAUAGUGGUGGAUGUCAGUGGAGGAUCCAGUGUAACCACAUCACACAAAACUACAAUAUAAGCUCAAUUACAUUAAUCUAAAUCUCAUUUACAUUAGUCAGAACCCACUUUGCCAGUUUUCCUUUCACUCCAGGUUGUGUUUUCUCCAGAUGUCCUGCGGCAUAGUGGUUUGUUUCCUGAUCUCCUCAAUAAGCUCCUCUGUUAUAAACAUUUUCAAAUAUUAGACCUCUGUGGGAGAUGCAGGUGGGGUCUGACUUUGAGGGUUAAAAAAAAACAAAAAAAAACAGGAGGGGUAAAAUUGCUGUAGCCCUCCAGCAAGAAGAGCUUACCUCCUCCACCUGCUUUGGUGUUGUGUUUGCAGGCGAUGAAGCAGUGGCUGAGACAUCUUCAGAAUUAAAAAAAUAUUUCUCUGAUCUCUCAUUAAUUGUUUUCUUUUAAAAGCAGAAUUUUUUUUUUUCUGUGGCAACUGUGUAAAUAAAUGCAAUUAGCUAAAGAAUUUGUGUGUGUAAAAUCUGUGACGAGCACCAAUGCGAGUCUGAGGUAAAGGUGACAUGCUGUGACACUUGUCACCGGGGGAAAGGGAAGACUACGGAGCAUUACAACAACAACAAAAAUAAAUAAAAUAAAGAAAAAUAUUAAGCAUUACUGAUGCCAAUCCUUUAUUUCAGAUUCUUAGUUUUUAUACAAAACAUCAUCUUAUUUACUUCAUUAAAAAUGUGUUAUUAGAUUCUCAAAUAUGUCAAACAUGUGUGUUUAUAUAACUUAUAUAAUGAUCGUAUUAUUAUCGAGAUAAAUGUAAUUAUUGAUAGGCUAUGACCAUGGCCAUGUUUGUUUACAUUUGCAGUGCAGACUUCAGA
Myxocyprinus asiaticus (Chinese sucker) is the source of this 1477-nucleotide long non-coding RNA. RefSeq lists it as uncharacterized. The transcript has 6 exons. The record is from RefSeq and is a predicted model, not a curated record. NCBI's taxonomy places the organism in Eukaryota, Metazoa, Chordata, Actinopteri, Cypriniformes, Catostomidae.